Long non-coding RNA from Homo sapiens (human), 2003 nucleotides. Ensembl annotates it as long intergenic non-protein coding RNA, p53 induced transcript. Its record names the gene LINC-PINT. The record is from Ensembl. Lineage: Eukaryota; Metazoa; Chordata; Mammalia; Primates; Hominidae.
AUAAAUAGGGCAGCCUCUGAUGAUGUAGCCUCGUUUUGCAGUGUGCGUGGGAGGUGAGCACAGAAGAGACAAAAGGGCCAGGGGAUGGUGAGAAGGAAUAGCAGAAGGGAGGGACACCUGGGUGCCUUCACCGUGGAUGGCACAGAUCGCAUUUUAUUAAUGCUUUUACGAGUUAGAAGAGUUGGGAUAAUUUGCCAUCUGGAGUUUCUCUGCCUUGCUGAUCUGAGCUCAGACCUGCCAAUUUACCAGAGAUAAUUGAUAACACCCUGUAACAGCUGAGAGGAAAAUGGAAGAAACGGAGAUACUUUUAGUGAAGCAGAAUAAACCACUGAACAGGAAAAAUGAGGAAGCUGUGAGUACCAGUGGAAGGAACGAGCCAGGAAGAGGGACUGGAACCAUCUCAGAAGCCAUGCCCCUCAGGCUGGAACUUGCCCUGUCUCCUCGCAGAUGAGGUAGGAGGCUCAGCACGGGCUGGUGGGAGCAGCCCACAGCAGCAGUGAGGGUCAGUGGGCCUGUGAGUUAAGAAGAAGGUGGCACAGAGCGAGGGUCUCUGGAUCCUGACUGUUUGACUUUUCCAUGAUUAGGAUAAGUAGCCAGGGCUUGGCUAGUUGGAGAGUUACUCGAACCUCAGGUGACAGUUGUAAGGCAGCACAUAGUGAAAAAGAGUCCUAGCCUGGGAAAGUCCAAAACCUUAGGUCUGGUUUCAGUUCACUCACCUAUCUCUGUGACAUAGCAAAGUCUGUUAAUUUCUCUAAUUUUCUGAUUAGUAGUAUAGUUGCAGGAAUGAAAUAAAAAUGGUCCUGAUUACUCAGAGAUUCAUUUACUGAUUACUCUUUUUGUGACCUGAAUAAAGAGUACAACAUCUCUCAAAAGGUAACAAUAUGAUGUUUCAGGAAAUUAGAGAAGUUAAGAGACUUUGCUGUAUUUACUAUACAGAUAGUUGACUGACAGCUGAGCCCGGACCCAAGAUUCAUUUAUAAAAUGAAGGAGUUGAGAAGUACAUACUCUGAGGUUUAUCCUAAAUAAACUGAAGUCUAGGCAAGUGGCUGAGCUAGGUUUGCCAUGAAUCAAUCUGCUGAGUAUAUUUCUUGGUAACUAGUUCAUCUUUCCUUAAUUCAGUCAACAAAUAUGAUAUCAAGUUUAGUAAGAUGAUGACAGUUGUCAUGUAAUACUCCAUCUGGAAGAUUGUAUGCUUCUCAGCUUCCCUAACUUUUCUUAAUCUACCUUAAGCUUCCUUUCUGAAAGGUUUCUGUCUUUCCUAACAGUCUCUUCUUUCCGCCAGCUACCUCUUGUGUUUAAGAAUUAAAGGAAGAUGAGCUAGGAAUCAAGAAAUACGCAGAACUGAUUCCUGUCACUGGCGCCACCCUGCCACUUGCCCAGAGCUGUGGUAUAAAUUUUUUUAAUAGGCUGAAAUAAAAAUAUGAAUAGCAUUUUGGUAUUAAGCAUUAAAUUGAUAAAGGCUAUGAGAUACACCUGCUCUCAACCAUGUUAAUUUUUUAUUAUUGGUAUUAAUAAAUUAUUACUUACUAACAUAUUAACAAGAAUUGCAUUGAGAAACAAAGCAUCCACAGGCCAAAUCUUCUGAAUUUCAAAUGUUUAUAUUAAUGCGUUGUAUUCUAGAAAAGUAGAAUUGUCUUAAGUAGCUUUGUAAUAUAAAGUCAUCUAUCAGCCCAUUACACCUAUUAGAAUGUUUUAACCUUUAUUUCCCACUUUUUUGUUUCUAGACUGAGUGUACUUGGUCUGGUAUUUGUGGCAUAACUUACGGAACACAUAAGAAUGAUACAGAUACUAUUUAAUGAUGACCUAAUACAAGCUUAGAUAGCUAAGGUGAAAGCUUCUAUGGCCUUAACAUUUUCCUCUUGAAGAAUGUAUUUUCUGUAAUAAAAUACAGUGGCUACUUGAAAUCUAUAAACUUAUGUGAGGUCUGGAUAAAUCUGAGCAACUUUCUUCUUUGUGCUCCAGGAACCUACGCACUAUAUAUAUAAAUAAAGCUUAAGUAAACA